This 253-nucleotide ribosomal RNA is filed under the name uncultured bacterium. RNAcentral describes it as "partial 16S ribosomal RNA". It matches the Rfam family "Bacterial small subunit ribosomal RNA", at positions 524 to 776 of the family's 1533-position model. The record is from RNAcentral.
UACGAAGGGGGCUAGCGUUGCUCGGAAUCACUGGGCGUAAAGCGCACGUAGGCGGCUUCUUAAGUCAGGGGUGAAAUCCUGGAGCUCAACUCCAGAACUGCCUUUGAUACUGGGAAGCUUGAGUUCGGGAGAGGUGAGUGGAACUGCGAGUGUAGGGGUGAAAUUCGUAGAUAUUCGCAAGAACACCAGUGGCGAAGGCGGCUCACUGGCCCGAUACUGACGCUGAGGUGCGAAAGCGCGGGGAGCGAACAGG